ACACUUUAAGAAAGUAUUCUAUAUUACUGUGUUUUUUUUUUUGGUUCUACCAUGUCAAAGUUUCAGCCUAAAACCGGUUAAAGUGGUACGCCUGUCAUAUGAUACCACGAAAGACAUCCCAGCACCACUCCAUCAUAUUCAAGGGAGAAUUCAUAGUUAGUAAACAAGAAAACUGAAGUGAGCCUCACCCUUGUUUUUGGGUUUAGUAAACUGAUUGUACAGGCAAAGAUGUUAUUAUUGAGAAAUCAUUUAAAGUGCAUGGAAGUAGGACAGCACAUGCGAUAUAUAUUGCGAUUAACAUUAUUUUUAAUUAAUGAAUUUAUUUAUUUAUUUUUAUUUCAUUAACAGCACUUGAAUGUAUGUACAUAUGGAUAAUAUAAAAUGUAGAAUGACAUUUGUUAAAUGCCGCAAUACUGAGCCCAAGAUAAAUUUCCCUAAGGGGACAAUAAACUAUAUCAUAUCGUAUCAUCACCUGGUUUUCCAUAUGUGACACUAGGGACAGAUGAUGACACAAAAUCCCUUGUGCUUUGGCGGCGGGACAAUGAGGCCCUCUUCACGGGCAAAAGAAAUGCCGCCAAGGGAGGAUGGGAGCAGUUUAUCAGUAACACAGGCCUGCAAGGGAGGGUAUCGGCUGCCCAAGCGAAGAAAAAAUGGGAAAACCUGAAAAAAAGUACAAGGACAUCGUCAGCAGCCAGGCAGACAUUGUGAAGGAUAGCGCAGGCUGCAAUAACCUUCGGUGCAAAUGAAGGGUGCACCUCCAGGGAUGAAAAGAAGAUGCUCCUCCAUCUGGACUUCAUCAGUCCAAAAGCUCGCUCAAUUAUGGAGCGAGCUUUGGACUGAUGCCGGUUAAAGCGGGCCUCCACCGGCCCCUGGACAGGCUCCCUGUAGGGGGUUAUGAGGUGGAUUGGAUCCUCCAAGCAGGGAUACCCUCCAUCACCAAGCAGCAUGUAUCCACGGGGAGGAUACAGCUGCUGUACAUAUAUGGGGCUGUUCCGCAGGACCCGUGAGUCAUGAACAGACCCCGGGAAACCCACAAAGACAUCCAGGAAUUUCCCGGAGGAGUCACAGACAGCCUGCAGGAUAAUUGAUGGAAACAAUUUC
Anguilla anguilla (European eel) is the source of this 1101-nucleotide long non-coding RNA. RefSeq lists it as uncharacterized. The transcript has 3 exons. The record is from RefSeq and is a predicted model, not a curated record. Lineage: Eukaryota; Metazoa; Chordata; Actinopteri; Anguilliformes; Anguillidae.